RNAcentral lists this unclassified non-coding RNA (282 nucleotides) under Hevea brasiliensis (rubber tree). The record is from RNAcentral. Lineage: Eukaryota; Viridiplantae; Streptophyta; Magnoliopsida; Malpighiales; Euphorbiaceae.
UACAAAAGAGAAGUACUAAUCCUACGCAAUUCUAUACGCUGCUUUUGAAGCUUGUACAAGUUACAUGCAAGGCGUUUACAUUCUGUAUCACUUGACACUAUCAAAAACUUCAGUCUAUUUCAUUGCCAACCAUCUCAAGCACUUAAACCCGGUACUAGAUAUUUUUAGAUUUCUGCUUUCUAUCACGAAUCAUGAUAAGUUUCAUCACAUUUGUCGAUAUCGAUUUGACUGUCUAGCAAUGUUCUUGCUAUACCACCAUAGAGGUGCAGUGAACCAGAUGGG